This is a long non-coding RNA of Lolium rigidum, 731 nucleotides long. RefSeq lists it as uncharacterized. NCBI's taxonomy places the organism in Eukaryota, Viridiplantae, Streptophyta, Magnoliopsida, Poales, Poaceae. The transcript has 3 exons. The record is from RefSeq and is a predicted model, not a curated record.
UAUCAUUGCAAGAGUCUGCCUUGGGGCUGUCGUCCAAUUUGUGUGCAGCUAUAUCACACUUCCACUCCAUGCCCUUGUAUCCCAGAUGGGAUCUCAGAUGAAGCGAACAAUCUUCGACGAGCAGACGGCAAAAGCCCUAAAGAAAUGGCACAAGGCGGUGGUGAAGAAGAAGCAUCAGCAGCAAAAGGAGUCAUCACAUGCGCCCUCCAAGACUGCAACCACGGACACAACCGAGGCAAGCCGGCUUAGUCAAUGCUAGUUCGUUGAGGUGGCGCCGGUGCAAAGGCACCUCCACCGCUACAAGACCAUAGCACACGUUGGCGCCACCAGGCCGCUCUCGGAUUCUGACUGCUCUGACACGGACGGCGAGACACAGACGAGGUACCUCAUCCCGCCAACGAAGCAGAGGAGCCUGGAUUCAGAGGUGCGUGUGGAUGUGGACGCUGCAACUCCAGAUCACCAUGAUAGUUUCUCCUUUCCGAGGCUGCCGCAUUCGCAGAACGUGCCGGAGAAAUGACCAACCGCUAGUCGGUCAUGAUUAGGAAUACUAACUUAUGUUUUAGAUUAGUAUAUCAUCAUACUGUUGAAGUGGUAGGGAACUUCAGCAUAUAUUGUUGAAGUGGUAGGGAACUUUACAGAAAGUGCAUGUUGUGAUAGUAGACUAGAGUACCAUUUGAGUGCAUCAGAAUUUCACAGGUACUAUCAAUGGAAGAGUCUAAUUCUCCCUUGCU